AGGAAAUUAGCUUAACUGGUAAAGCGACCGCCUUACAACUGGUAGUAGGGUGUUCAAGUCACCCAUUUCUUA
This 72-nucleotide transfer RNA is filed under the name Botrytis cinerea. RNAcentral's name for it is "tRNA-Val". It matches the Rfam family "tRNA". Rfam says of the family: Transfer RNA (tRNA) molecules are approximately 80 nucleotides in length. Their secondary structure includes four short double-helical elements and three loops (D, anti-codon, and T loops). Further hydrogen bonds mediate the characteristic L-shaped molecular structure. tRNAs have two regions of fundamental functional importance: the anti-codon, which is responsible for specific mRNA codon recognition, and the 3' end, to which the tRNAs corresponding amino acid is attached (by aminoacyl-tRNA synthetases). tRNAs cope with the degeneracy of the genetic code in two manners: having more than one tRNA (with a specific anti-codon) for a particular amino acid; and 'wobble' base-pairing, i.e. permitting non-standard base-pairing at the 3rd anti-codon position. Lineage: Eukaryota; Fungi; Ascomycota; Leotiomycetes; Helotiales; Sclerotiniaceae. The record is from RNAcentral. RNAcentral also lists the same sequence under 3 other names.